GAAAGUGGUAUUGUUCAUGGGAUUCCUUCUAAUGCAUCACCACUUGGUUCUCUCAAAUUCAAUGCAGGAUCCUUUUGUGAGAAAUGACAGAAGCCUUAAAGAUUCGCUGCCGCCGCCGCCGCCGCCAUACCAUUCCAAAUCGUACCGCCAGCUGGACGCGCCUCUGGCUCCGCCAUACCGCCGGCGCCGGUAACUCCGUCGAUGCUUAAAAUUUUAAGUUUGUUUUUUGCAGCAGUUUUUUAUGAGUUAAGUUAGAAAUGCUUGAG
RNAcentral lists this long non-coding RNA (266 nucleotides) under Salvia miltiorrhiza (redroot sage). RNAcentral's name for it is "long non-coding RNA (SMIL_LNC004155)". Lineage: Eukaryota; Viridiplantae; Streptophyta; Magnoliopsida; Lamiales; Lamiaceae. The record is from RNAcentral.